GAGAGAGGCAAGAAGGCGAAGGUAGGAGGGGGGGAUUGGGACCCAGUGAGUGAAGUUUGGUUUUUCGCUGCAAAUCUUUCAUAGUUUUUUUCGUUGAGGUCAGAGCUUGUUCAUACAAUCUCCUUCUAAACCCACAAACAAUCCUUCCAUUUCCAUGAUUUUCAGCUUCCUUUCUGCUUCUUCUGCUUCUUCUUGUUCUUGUUCUUCAUCAUUCAUCCGUGUUCUUGUUCUUCAAUCUCGUUUUCGAACCCCCAACUUCCGCUUUUUCUCAUACACUUUACUGAUCUCCAUCAUUAUACUUCCAAUUUCCUACUUCCAACUUCCUCACAUCCUCAAUUGCGCCUAACGGACGAGGGUUUCCUCUAUUGCUGCUCAGCUGCAAUUCGCGCCUCUUGCGUUCGCCUUCGAGGUAGGUGGUGUUUCUUUUUGUUUUUUCGACCGAUCCGGGUUUUGGUUUUCUUUUUUCAAUUUCAACUUAGGGCUUUGAUUUUGCGCCAUGAUAAAUACAAGUUUCUUGGCUUGAUUUUUCUCUUAUUUCGCUGUGGGGUUUAGUGACUUUAGCUGCUUUGAUCUUUAGGGUUUUGGUUUUGGGAGUAUAGAUCUGGGUUUGCAUUCUACUGCUUGUUGCCUCUGUUGUUGAUUGCGGAAUCCUUCCGAAUUAAAUGUUACUCAGUCAUUGCUGGAAUUAUGAUUUCAGGCUGCUGUAAACCCGCUCUUUUUUGCUUGGUGCACGUACUAUAUAUAUGUUUGUGUAUAUUUUGUUUUUUACCAAAUGGUGCGGCCUUUCAGACUUGAUUUGUCCUGAAUGACGAGGAAGUAUAAAUUCUGGGGGAUUUUGUAUUGGUACAGUACCGCAAUUCAGCUUCAAUUCGAGUGACAAUUCUGGGGUUGGAGCUACAGUUUACGGUGUAUGAACCCAACCGGCCUCUGGAGAAAUGCAAUCUCAGCAAGGCUCCAGAAUUGAUUUAGGCGACUUGAAGGCUCAGAUAGUUAAAAAACUUGGAAAUGACAAGUCCAAGCGGUACUUCUUCUACUUGAGCAAAUUCUUGGGUCAGAAGCUGAGCAAGGUUGAGUUUGAUAAGCUGUGCGUUCGUGUGCUUGGAAGGGAGAAUAUUCAGCUCCACAAUCAAUUGAUAAGGUCAAUUUUGAAGAAUGCAUGUGUAGCCAAGACCCCACCACUUAUAAAUGUAUCAGGACAUGCACAAUCUGUACUACAAGCUUCGAACAAUACUCCUUGUAGAGAAGAUGCCCCUGAACAAACUGGAUCUGCCUUCCCAAAUCAGAAUCAGAGUAUACCAAUUUGGACAAACGGGGUUCUGCCAGUGUCCCCACGGAAGGGUAGAUCUGUCUUACGCGGGAAGUUUAGGGAUAGGCCGAGUCCGCUUGGUCCAAAUGGAAAAACAGCAUGUCUUUCGUAUCAAUCAACAGGUACUGAAGAUAGGAAAGUUAUUACAGAGAAUGGUAAUGUAACCAUGUGUGACUAUCAGAGGCCUGUACAGCAACUUCAAGCAGUAGCUGAGCUACCUGAGAAUGACAUAGAUGGAUCAGUUCAGCGCCCGUCAGGAAAACCAAGAAUACGUCCAACAGAAGCAUCCAUUCUUGAAGAAGGAGAGGAGGUGGAACAAUCAGAUCCCUUAAGCUUCCUUAGAGGUCCUCUACUUCCACCUCUUGGUAUUCCAUUUUGUUCAGCGAGUGUGGGUGGGGCACGCAAGGCCUUGCCAGUCAGCAGUAGUGGCAGUUGUGUCGAUUUUCUGAGUUGUUAUGACAGUAUUGGAUUGUCUGAUUCAGAGACAGUGAGAAAACGCAUGGAACAAAUUGCAACUGCACAAGGGCUUGAUGGUGUUUCUUUGGAAUGCCCUAACAUCCUGAAUAAUACUCUUGAUGUGUACCUGAAGCAAUUGAUAAAGUCUUGCCUUGAGUUGGUGAGAACAAGGUCUACAUUUGAACAUACGGGGCAUCCGAUCCAGAAGCAACAAAAUCAAGGGAAGGUUAUAAAUGGUAUGUGGCCUACUAACCACCUACGUGUACAGAAUAGCAAUGGGCGAUCUGAAGUUUUGGAGGAAAAGAGUUUUGAAUGCUCAGUGUCAUUGCUUGAUUUCAAAGUUGCUAUGGAGCUCAAUCCAAAGCAGCUUGGGGAAGAUUGGCCUUUGCUGUUGGAGAAAAUUAGUAUGCGUGCCUUUGAGGAAUAAGCGGUUGCAAAGUUUUUAUUUAUUCUUCUGCCAUCCAAGGCUGGUCUCUGUUCCUUCGGGCUUCUAAACGCACCUGGGAUGUCUUCCCGUUCUUCCCUUCUUCCUGGGGUGUACUUGAUCGCUCCCAUUUGGUUCAGGCUCCAAGCUUUCAUGCUAAAACAUUGUAACAUCAUUGCCUGCUGCAUCGAGGAAGUUGAAUUAACUCGACUAAGAAAGGGGGAGCUUUCAGCCAGAACGCCCGUAAAAGGAAUACUGUCAUUUAGCUUGGUGAAAGAUGAAUCACCUGGGUGAGAGCUUCAGGUGCUCUUUUGGUCCCCUGUUCAACUAUAUGAUUAUCCAAUAUAUAAUCAUGUUGCUCUUGUCUUUAAUCCCACUUUCACGAUGAAUAGUGCCAGCUGCCCCCUCCAGGUAAAUGUGAACGUAUGCGUGUGAGAAGUUCGUCUCAGGAGCAGCACAGCCUGAUUCCAAGAUGUUUGCAACGAGAUAGAUAUCCAGCUUGCUACUGAGCAAAUCAAUGUUCUACAGAUACUAUGCCCAAUUGGAUGCAGGUAAUUCUUACUAAAAGGUAACGUAAUGAUUGAAGUUUGGAGUAGACAAGGCUCAAGGUCAUAAUACCACGGAAAGGUAUCUUCUCCUUCUAGAACUAACAAUUUUUCUUUCCUGCUCACAUAAUUUAAACUUCUAUGGGCUCUAGUGCGUUGAUUGCAAAGCAUAUUUGCAUCUAAAGUACCAUUAAGCAUUGUACUAAUCUGGUCUUGUGAUGUCUGCUGUUUUAUCAUCAUACUAUUGAUUUAGUUUUCUUCUGAGAGGUUUGCCAUUUUUUUCUUACGAUAUAUAGCUUGCUUGUCAGUAAAAAAAUUUCUUCAUUUUUAGCUGUAUUUGUAGCCAUGUUAUGAAGUAUCUUUUGAAAUAACUAUUGCAGUGUACAAUAUGAACUUCAGAGUCUGUAAUGUACAAAGUAAGGAAUUUAUGAAGCAAUCAAGGUGAAGUGGCGAAGUGCAUGUGUGAUAUUCUACAUUCGUUGGAGAGGGGAACAAAGCAUUCCUUAUAAGGGUGUGGAAAUCUCUCUCUAGU
RNA transcript from Cucurbita pepo subsp. pepo (vegetable marrow), 3263 nucleotides. RefSeq lists it as uncharacterized. NCBI's taxonomy places the organism in Eukaryota, Viridiplantae, Streptophyta, Magnoliopsida, Cucurbitales, Cucurbitaceae. The record is from RefSeq and is a predicted model, not a curated record.